Long non-coding RNA from Physcomitrium patens, 1755 nucleotides. RefSeq lists it as uncharacterized. NCBI's taxonomy places the organism in Eukaryota, Viridiplantae, Streptophyta, Bryopsida, Funariales, Funariaceae. The record is from RefSeq and is a predicted model, not a curated record.
UUUCUCCGUUUUGUCCAUGAUUCACAAGAAAAUCUCUGCUUGUUUUGUUCGACGAUGCCUGUGAUUACAGCAUCAUGCGCCCUUGGGAUUAUUGUGGUGUCAUCUCGUUGGGACGGAAGUUUCCAUCACCGCGUAACUGCUCUGCUGCGAAGGGCCUGCCGCGUGUGUACUCUGGCAACGGUCUCUAUUCACCAGGAGACCUUAAUUCGUUACACCAGCAUCAGCAGCCACAACCACGCCAAGGCCUCGCCAGGUUGCAGCGCAAGCCUCCAGACUGCAAAUGAACGCUUCUUGGGUCUCUACUUUGCCUUCAAUUCCAAGUAGCGGAAUCUUUCAUCGCAUGCAGCAACCCGGAAUCGCCACUCCCUGUUCAAAUAUACUCACGGCAAAAUUUGAUUUGCAUGAGCAGCAUGGGUCCCAUGUGGAGAUAGCUACUUUUAAGUGACAGUCUGAAAAAAAUUUAGAUAGAGCUUUGUUGGGAGCCCUCGAACUGGCGCAUGAAGGCGCAUGAAGGCGCCAGUUGGUAAACGAACGGACCGAGAGGCUAAUGUCCAUUGGUUGGGUCGCGGAAUCCUAAAGCAGACUUGGGUCAGCAUGUCCUUACUCAUCAUCUGGUCCAAUAUUGGGGCUCCACUUCCUAUUCUCAGGAAUUGCUGCAUAUCUAAGCAGGUUCAACACAGCCUUAUUUGGGCUUCAAAACAUCUAUUCUGGCUGAUCUCCCAGUCAUCUCCGACUCAAUCAAUCCUUCUAUGUUGCCAACUCAGAGGUACAGCUUCGCUCAUGGGAUCAACAAGCGAUGAGAAUUGGUUGACGGAUAUGUGGUCAAUGUACCCCACAUUGACUCCUCAGCUGCUGUUUAUUCUCCGAAUGUCCAAAUUUAGGUCACGAAUCAGUUGGCCUUUCUCCCUCAGCAUGCUUUCUGUGUGAAAGAUGGUGGUGAAUUCCUCAAGGAGCACUUAAUUCAAGGCUUUCUGGAUACUGCGUCGAACUUCUUCCUGACAACAGCGGAAACAAUCCAGCCGAACCUAAUCUCUCUCUCUCUCUCUCUCUCUCUCUCCAUCUUACCCGGUUGCUCAUAUCCACAUCGUUGCGGCUUCAACUUCAACGAAGCUGUGGCAGACGUGCGAAACCGUAUUGAAUGUGGUGUAGACGUCGGAAACCAUUCCUGGGUUCCAGUAUGCAGGUCUUAAUGAGCUCGCCACUCGCAAUCUAGACUGUUAAACCGACUGAUCUAUUCGAAUAUUCGAAGAUUAAGCAACACGCGUUGCUUCAUCGUCUGUGCAAGAGUGAUGACCCGCGGAGCUUCGAAUCCAACUUCUGGUACAGUAUCAGAACUCUGACACUGUCAACUGAAACUGGGUUCUAUUUCUCCCCUUUUUGUGGCAUUAUCUGAUUGUGGGGUAGUUUAUGAGGUUUGGAACGUGAGCUCCGUCAUGUGUGGUUUCUCAUUAUGAUAGCUGAACUAAUCAAUGUCACAUAUUUAAUUAGAGCAGUAGAAUUCUCAUAAAUAAAAAAUAAUAACUCAUGGUUGAACUAAUUUUUGGUAGUAAAUGUUCAAGUAAUGCUAUAGUUCAUGUUUAUUGUUAAAACGUAGUGAUCGACUUUUGUUAAGUAGGUUCACUUUCCUUUUCAUCCAUAACUACAUUUAUUAAAUUUUGGUUUGAGUAACAAAAUUAGUCCAUCCAAGUUCUGUUCGAACACAAAUUAAGCUCACUUUAUAUGGAACUGUCUAAGAAAAGUGUUAAUUUAUAACCA